GUUCUGAAGUUACUUGUAGUUGUGUGUUUUAUACUGCUUGAUGUACAAUCUGUUAUGUUCUGAGGUAACUUUUAGUUGUAUAUUUUAUACUGCUUGUGUUCAAUCUGUUAUGUUCUGAAGUAACUUGUAGUUAUGUUUUAUACUGCUUGUGUACAAUCUGUUAUGUUCUGAAGUAACUUGUAGUUAUGUGUUUUAUACUGCUUAUGUACAAUCUGUUAUGUUCUGAAGUAAUUUGUAGUUGUGUGUUUAAUACUGCUGGUGUGCAAUCUGU
This 271-nucleotide long non-coding RNA is filed under the name Mytilus galloprovincialis (Mediterranean mussel). Lineage: Eukaryota; Metazoa; Mollusca; Bivalvia; Mytilida; Mytilidae. The record is from RNAcentral.